Molecule: RNA transcript, 2011 nt
Organism: Amaranthus tricolor (Joseph's coat)
Lineage: Eukaryota; Viridiplantae; Streptophyta; Magnoliopsida; Caryophyllales; Amaranthaceae
Exons: 3
Source: RefSeq, a predicted model, not a curated record
CACAUACCCCUUAUUCUUGGAAGAACCACUCUAAAAACUUUCGACGCAUUCAUUGAUCAAUUGUAAGAACGAUACAAUCAGUCAUCGAAAAACAGGAGGGCUUGAACUACAAUUAUUGAAAAAAUUUAAUAUUUGGGUGGGUACUAUCCGUGCGCUAAGUAAAUCGGGCUGGUGGCAACACAAAAUAAUACUCGCGGGUUAAAGGCAUCGAUUAUACCGACACUUUUGCUCCUGUUGCUAAGAUGACUACAGUUCGGGCAUUCCUUUUAGUUGCUACUGUUAAAAAUUGGAAAUUCUAUCGGAUGGAUGUUCACAAUGCCUUUCUACAUGGUGACUUGUUUGAGGAGGUUUACAUGAGGAUGCCUCCUGGUUUUCAAGGUACUCUUUCUGAGAGGUGCAAUUCAAUUGAGUAUUCUCAUCUGUGUAGACGAUUUGAUUAUCUCCGGUAAUGAUUCCGCUGCUCCUAAUGCUUUCAAGCAAUAUUUGUGUUUUUAUUUUCAUAUGAAAGAUCUUGAGGUUCUUAAGUAUUUUCUGGGUAUUGAAGUUAGCUCGAAGUUCAGAGGGUAUUUACUUGUGCCAAAGAAAAUAUACUCUUGAUAUUAUUAUUGUUGAGACUAGAAAUCUUGGUUCAAAACCUGCUACCUUUUCCAUGGAGCCUAAUCAUAAACUUGUGUUGUCUGUGAGUCCACUUCUUGAAAAUGUAGAGCGGUAUCGUCGGUUAGUUGAGCGAUUAAUAUAUUUAUCAUUUACUAGAUCUAACUUGGCGUACUCUGUUCAUGUGCUAUCACAAUUUCUUCCUACUCCUCGUCGUGAUCAUUGGGACGCGGCAGUUCGUGUUGUUCGCUAUCUCAAGGGGUGUUCAGGUCAAGGUAUUCUUCUCCGCUCUGUGACUUGUCUUUGUCUGGUUGGUGUGAUUCUGAUUGGGCCACUUGUCCGCUCACACGUCGCUCUGUCAUGGAAUGGUUGGUUUUUCUUGGGCAUUCUCCUAUUUCUUGGAAGACAAAGAAACAAGUCACUAUGUCUAGAUUUUCAGCUGAAGCAUAUUAUCGUUCUAUGGUUGCUGUCACAUGUGAGCUUAAGUAGUUGAAAGGUCUUCUUCUUAGUUUGGGGGUGCAUCACCCAAAAGCAAUGAAGUUAUAUUGUGAUAGUAAAUCUACUCUAUAUAUUGCGCAUAAUCCAGCAUUUCAUAAACGUACGAAACAUGUUGAAAUUGAUUGUCAUUUUGUUCGAGAUGCCAUUCAAAAUGGUUUCAUUAGUCCUUUUCAUGUCCCUACUACCGUUCAAUUCGUAAACAUUUUUACAAAGGCUUUGGGUCAAAGAUAAUUUUUGUUUCUUCUUAGCAAGUUGGGCAAUUGAAUUUUACAUACUCCAAAGGGAUGUUAAGGUUAUUCGGUGUAUUAUUAUUAAGUCAUUGUAUAGCCAGCCCAUUGAGUAAAUCAUUUAGAAUACACUUGUAUUUAAACACUUUGAAUCACAAUGACAGGCAAGGAAAAUUUCCCCAACAGUUGCCCAUUUUAAGGUUUUUUUAGUGUUAAUUAGAAUAUGGUGGAUAUGCAAAUCCAAACAUAAAACCCGAAUCCAUGUCCUCGCCCAUGCCGGGCAUGUCAUCGGGCCCAAAAGCAAAGUUGUCACUUUUUGAGCAUCAGUUUUAGAAGCAGCACUAAUACCAGACAUUUUACUCAGUAAACUUCCUAAAGCGUCCCCGUAACACUUCAAAUGGCUGCACCAUUGAAAACAGACGCCUCGAUUUCUCGUAACCAUUUGUAAGAUCAUGAUCAUAGUCCGUAGGAGGAUAUGCUCAGCACAAAAAACGAUUUUUGCACUUAAGGAUGUGAUCACAAUCACAAUCCAAAACAAAUUCAAGAAACGACCAUCCAAGGAGCUAUGACGAUAUUUCUUCAUUUUUUUUUUAUUUAUUUGAAUGUAAGAUUAAUUUUGAACUUGAAUUUGAUGAGUUUUCUUUAGGAGUUUCUAUUCUAAUAUAUAUAGAGGUUUCUUGAACCUAAUCUUA